ACAUAGGGUGCAAGCGUUGUCCGGAAUUAUUGGGCGUAAAGAGCUCGUAGGUGGUUCGUCACGUCGGAUGUGAAAAUCUGGGGCUUAACCCCAGACCUGCAUUCGAUACGGGCGAGCUAGAGUGUGGUAGGGGAGACUGGAAUUCCUGGUGUAGCGGUGGAAUGCGCAGAUAUCAGGAGGAACACCGAUGGCGAAGGCAGGUCUCUGGGCCAAUACUGACACUGAGGAGCGAAAGCGUGGGGAGCGAACAGGAUUAGAUACCCUGGUAGUCCACGCCGUAAACGGUGGGCGCUAGUUGUGCGAACCUUCCACGGUUUGUGCGACGCAGCUAACGCAUUAAGCGCCCCGCCUGGGGAGUACGAUCGCAAGAUUA
RNAcentral lists this ribosomal RNA (373 nucleotides) under uncultured bacterium. Its description in RNAcentral is "bacterial SSU rRNA". It matches the Rfam family "Bacterial small subunit ribosomal RNA", at positions 525 to 896 of the family's 1533-position model. The record is from RNAcentral.